Felis catus (domestic cat) is the source of this 3099-nucleotide long non-coding RNA. RefSeq lists it as uncharacterized. Lineage: Eukaryota; Metazoa; Chordata; Mammalia; Carnivora; Felidae. The transcript is spliced from 10 exons. The record is from RefSeq and is a predicted model, not a curated record.
CCCCCCGUCGGGUGCACGCCUCCUGGCAAAGGAGGGGCGGAGCGCAUUUCUGCUGAGAUCUCCCUGUAGCUCUUAACUGGCUGGGAGCUGGUUGGGCCUGCUGGUUACGGACCGCUGCCCCGCGGGCGUCUGAGUUAGCCGCGGGUAGCCUUGAAAAAAAUCAAACAGAAAGGAAGACGUGCACUGUUGAAGGCUAAGGCCCUCAAAGAGAGAUCUGAGCAAUGCAUUUUGCACUGUCAUGCUGCUAAAUGAGGAAAAAAGGAAAUUUGAACAUAGACACUUAUAGAAGGAAGACCCUGUGAAGACAGAGGGAGAAGAUAGCCAUCUAUAAGCAAAGAGAAACCAUCCCUGUCAACACCUUGAGGUGCUCCGCUCACCUUAACUUCAGCCUCUGAGGCCAAGAGACUUGGAAGAAACCGACCCUGUGGACAACUUGAUCUCAGACUUCUAGUUUCCGGAACUAUGAGGAGGAUUUAUACCAUGAAGCAGAGAAUCCCUGAAACAAACAAGACAGACACACACUACAGCUGACAUGCAGUGCUGUCAAGAGCACCUGUACACAGCCAAUGGUUGACUCAGCAAUGGUCAGAGCCAAAAGAUCUUCUUCCAGAGACUUGAAGAUAUUAUGGAAGAACUUCACAGUGGAGAGCCCGGACUGGUACUUGGAAUAAACAGAUAUCAAAGCCUAACAGCUGAAUUUCUUCAAGCAGUGGCCCCUGGGCUUCCCUAAUAUAGGAUCCUAAUGGCUCAUCCUACUUCCUUCAAGGUACCUCUACCGGGAGAGAUAGUGACAAGUACAUCACAAAGGAGAGAGAUAGCCUAUGGAAAUCAGAAUAUUGUGGUGGAGCAGGAGGACCGUAGGCUUGCCUGGCCCCACUGAUACAACCAGAUAACUAUCAAAUCAUCCUAAAUACCCCAGAAAUAGACCUGAAGAUUGGCAGAACAAACUUCACAGCUAAAGGUAGAGAAGAGGCUACAAUGAACAAGGGUUUGGUGGUGUGCAGAUGUCAGGUCUGAGACAUCCUCGGCCACGUUAUUACCAUGAGCAAAGCCAGACUGUACAUGAAGCAAAGCCAGAGAAGGCUUCUUUUCUUCCUUCGGGUAAUUUGAGAGACUUGAUUGUUCCUCUUUUCCUUUUUGACAUUUUGAGGAUGACCCAUGGUCGUUUUUAUCUCUUUGACAAAUUCUUGUAAUCUCUGCUUUAUAAGGAUUCAAUCCCCAUCUCCCUCCACUCAAGCAGGUUGGUUUAAUCAGAGUAAUUCAUUCGCCGAGGACCUGAGUAGCCUGGGUGGUUUUUGUCUGUUUGUUUGUUUUUGUUUUUUGUUUUUUUUUAAUAAAAGAUAAAACUAAUUCAAUCCACAUAACUGACCUGAAGUACUGAGUUGACAUUUUAAUUUUAGAAGAAAGUUGGAUCUGUUACAGGUUUAGGAAAUAAGGUUACAGUUGGGGAUUUCUGGAUUCUGACAACCCAAGACAUUCAGAUCUAUUCAAGGCAAGUAAUACUGCUUUUUGAAUAAGUUUAUCAUUUUUUUUCUUUUCCCCAAUUCAGUUUUAGCCACGUAUUUAACCUAGCCACAGGACUUGUCUCAGGUAGAAAAUGGCUGCUACUUUAGGGAUGUACCUUUUUCCUAUUUUUGUUCUUGGGAGUUCUACCUCAGAAGACAUUGUGCAAAAGGUCCUGAAGUUGAAAGGAGAGGAGGUAGGAAGGAAGAGGAGAAAAGGAAUCCCUUGAGGGCAUUUAAUAGAAAUAUUUCCUUGGUUCUCCAUUUCUGUCAUAGACUGGUGCUCUCCAUGAAAACAGCACAGACUGAUAAGAAAUGGAACGUCAUGAAAUCAUCUUCUCUGUUGUCUUUUGUAGAGAAGUUAGAGGUCCUUCCUUGUCUUCUCCAUCCUUUUUCUACUGUUUUGUUACAAAAUUGUUUCAACAAAAAAGUAAAAUUUUCUCUCCUCUUCCCUUUUAUUUGAUAUUCAGCUUAAGUAGGAUAUGUCUUGCUCCUGGAACAUGGAUGUCCAUUUAACAAUUCAAUUUUGUCUUCAUUUCAGGGAAAUUUUCUUCUAUUUUAUCUAUGUAUCAACAGCUUAAUUUGAUAGGCUUUUUACUUCAAUUCCAAUAACAAUUAUCUUUAUAUUGCAUCAUCGCUGUUUUAUGGCUUAACUUUAUCUAAUUGUAUUCAUCUCUUCUUUCAUCAGAAUUAUCAGGAUGUAUCAAAUCUUUCUGUACCAUGGUGUGAGAUAAUAGAAAAUAUAUACAUUGGUCUCUGCCUUUGGAUCCUGGCAUAGAGCUCCUAAAACUCUUGUAAAUUCCUAAGUGACGGGAGCAGUAGGAGCAUCUUUUGUUCUAAUGAGGGACUCUGAGUAGGCUCCUGGAUGGAGGCUGGUCACCAGAAAGACCAAGCCAUGAUUAGAAGCUUGGAAUUUUCAGCUCUAUUGCCCCUUCUUUAGAGAAGGAAGAGAGACUAGAAAUGUAAUUAAUUGAUCAUGCCUGCAUAAUGAAGCCUCCACAAAAUUCCAAAAGUAUGGGGUUCAAAGAGCUUCCAGGUGGGUGAGCACUUCUAUAUAUUGGAAGAGUGACGCACUCCAACCCUUGGGACCCUCUCAGACAUUGCCCUAUAUGUCUCUUCAUCUGUCUGUUCAUCUGUAUCCUUUAUCAUAUCCUUUAAUAGACUGGUAAAUGUGUUUUCCUGAGUUUUGUGAGCUGUUCUAGCAAAUAAUUGAACCUAAGACACAGGAAGUAAUAGGAACCUCCAAUUUAUAGCCAAUUCAGAUAGAAGUUGUGGUUAACCUGGGGACCUACAACUUGUGAUUGGUGUCUAAAGUGAGGGGAGGCAGUCUUGUGGGACCGAACUUUUAAACUGGGGGUUCUGACUCUAUUUCCAAGUAGAUAGUGUCAGAAUUGAGUUAAAUUGUAGGACACUCAACUGGUGUUGAAGAAUUGCUUGGUGUGAGGAAAAAAACACCACACAUUUGAUAACUAGAAGUAUCUAAAGUGUUCUAUAUGAGUAGUAAAGGAGACACACAGAAGAAAUGUAGGGUUUUUUUUUUGUUUUACUUUAAUGUUUUUAUUUAUUUUUGAAGGAGAGACAGAGCGAAUGUGAGGGG